This 114-nucleotide ribosomal RNA is filed under the name uncultured bacterium. RNAcentral describes it as "partial 16S ribosomal RNA". It matches the Rfam family "Bacterial small subunit ribosomal RNA", at positions 557 to 670 of the family's 1533-position model. The record is from RNAcentral.
GGCGUAAAGCGCAUGCAGGUGGUCUGUUAAGUCAGAUGUGAAAUCCCCGGGCUUAACCUGGGAACUGCAUUGGAAACUGGCAGACUGGAGUCCUGUAGAGGGGGGUAGAAUUUC